CUCACAAUCGCCGUGUUAAUCAGCCUAACACAUGCAAGUCGAACGGUACAGGAAGCAGCUUGCUGCUUCGCUGACGAGUGGCGGACGGGUGAGUAAUGUCUGGGAAACUGCCUGAUGGAGUGGGGAUAACUACUGGAAACGGUACUAAUACCGCAUAACGUCGCAAUGACCAAAUGAGUGGGUGACCUUCGGGCCUCUUGCCAUCGUGAUGUGCCCAGAUGGGAUUAGCUAGUAAGGUGGGGGUAACGGCUUCACCUAANGCGACGAUCCCUAACUUGGUCUUGAAAAAGGAUUAACCCAGCCA
This 304-nucleotide ribosomal RNA is filed under the name uncultured bacterium. Its description in RNAcentral is "bacterial SSU rRNA". It matches the Rfam family "Bacterial small subunit ribosomal RNA", at positions 46 to 310 of the family's 1533-position model. The record is from RNAcentral.